This 402-nucleotide ribosomal RNA is filed under the name Fusobacteriota bacterium. RNAcentral describes it as "Fusobacteria bacterium partial 16S ribosomal RNA". It matches the Rfam family "Bacterial small subunit ribosomal RNA", at positions 355 to 776 of the family's 1533-position model. Lineage: Bacteria; Fusobacteriati; Fusobacteriota. The record is from RNAcentral.
UGGGGAAUAUUGCACAAUGGAGGGAACUCUGAUGCAGCGACGCCGCGUGAACGAAGAAGGCUUUCGAGUCGUAAGUUCUUUUAUAUGGGAAGAUAAUGACGGUACCAUAAGAAAAAGCCCCGGCUAACUACGUGCCAGCAGCCGCGGUAAUACGUAGGGGGCUAGCGUUGUCCGGAAUCACUGGGCGUAAAGGGUUCGCAGGCGGAAAUGCAAGUCAGGUGUAAAAGGCAGUAGCUUAACUACUGUAAGCAUUUGAAACUGCAUAUCUUGAGAAGAGUAGAGGUAAGUGGAAUUUUUAGUGUAGCGGUGAAAUGCGUAGAUAUUAAAAAGAAUACCGGUGGCGAAGGCGACUUACUGGGCUCAUUCUGACGCUGAGGAACGAAAGCGUGGGUAGCAAACAGG